Molecule: long non-coding RNA, 715 nt
Filed under: Olea europaea subsp. europaea
Lineage: Eukaryota; Viridiplantae; Streptophyta; Magnoliopsida; Lamiales; Oleaceae
Source: RNAcentral
UAUAUAUAUAUAUAUAUAAUCUGCAUGCUUGUAUUUUGAUCAUAAAAAGUUAUCCUUUUUCGAGUUUGUGCAUCGAGAAAUUUGUUCUUCUAGACGAGUUUGAAUGAAAAUGCUAGAGUUUUGAAGGUUUCCACCGGACUUGUUGAAAUGAAUUUCAGUUUCAUCAACUCAAUUUUCCGAAGGCUGUUCUCAAGGGAGCCUCUGAUGUUCUACGCUGCCACGUGGACGACGAUUUUGACUUUGACAGUGGCUGUGGCAUCGUUCUGGCCGGAGUUUGCUUUCGUUUCUGCUAUUAGUCCAACUUCCACCUUUUCUCAGGCGUGUCACAGAGAAGGGUAUUUGAGAUUACCACUGGAUAUUCCGGGGGAGAAUUUUUGUUUUCCGGUUCAAUUUUUCAGAAGAUCCAAAAUGGAUAUCGUGGUUCCACCGGUUUUUGCGGCCGUUAUUGUCACCACCACGGCUUAUGCGGUUAGAGCUUUGGGCUUGUGGGAGGGGGACGAUGAUCAACUAUUGUAAGUCGAACGAAUUGGAAGGCCUUUCACGUAAAAAUCGGUGUAUUUCUUAUCAUUUAUUCUCGUACAAUUUAUCAUUUUUAGUUUUUGUUCGAAUUCUACUCUUUCACACAAAAAGAAGCAAAUUGAUUUUUCUUUUACAUUAUAAUGAAAGAAGUUAAAUUCUUAUUUGUUUAUUGCUGAGUAUUUUCAUUCUACGUACA